This 465-nucleotide ribosomal RNA is filed under the name Dictyocoela cavimanum. RNAcentral describes it as "partial small subunit ribosomal RNA". The stretch from base 5 to 233 matches the Rfam family "Microsporidia small subunit ribosomal RNA", at positions 56 to 247 of the family's 1311-position model. Lineage: Eukaryota; Fungi; Microsporidia. The record is from RNAcentral.
AUGUGUAAGCGAAGCAUAUUGUGGAGCGGCGAAAGGCUCAGUAACGGGCGAUUUAUUUAUUCUUCUGUGACGGACAACACCGGGAAACUGGUGGGAAAACGUCUAUACUGCAGGAGUAAAAUUCUGUGGUAGAAAGAGUUAUCUGUGGAAAGUAAGAUGCCUCCUAUCAGUUAGUAAGUAGGGUAAGGGCCUACUUAACAAACGGGUACGGGGAAUGAGGUUUGAUUCCGGAAGGGACCUGAGAAUGCUACGGACAAGGUGACAGCGCGAAAACGAUCCUUUGGGGGCUCUUCCCUUCACCCACUGACUCGCUGCCUCCGUCGGUGCUCUACGUUAUCAUCUCACUCUGGCGGUUAUGUUAUCACAGAAUAGGUAUAAUUCAGAUUAAUGUGAUAGCCAUUUAAGCCAGAACGUAGCCGGUUGUUGUUUUUUUCUAUGUUCCCCUGACUAUUUUUCCUCAGUCGA